This 1280-nucleotide ribosomal RNA is filed under the name Oerskovia enterophila. RNAcentral describes it as "bacterial SSU rRNA". It matches the Rfam family "Bacterial small subunit ribosomal RNA", at positions 116 to 1410 of the family's 1533-position model. The record is from RNAcentral. Lineage: Bacteria; Bacillati; Actinomycetota; Actinomycetes; Micrococcales; Cellulomonadaceae.
CGUGAGCAACCUGCCCCAGACUUCGGGAUAAGCCUUGGAAACGAGGUCUAAUACUGGAUAUGAGGUCACAUCGCAUGGUGUGGUCUGGAAAGAUUUAUCGGUCUGGGAUGGGCUCGCGGCCUAUCAGCUUGUUGGUGGGGUAGUGGCCUACCAAGGCGACGACGGGUAGCCGGCCUGAGAGGGCGACCGGCCACACUGGGACUGAGACACGGCCCAGACUCCUACGGGAGGCAGCAGUGGGGAAUAUUGCACAAUGGGCGCAAGCCUGAUGCAGCGACGCCGCGUGAGGGAUGAAGGCCUUCGGGUUGUAAACCUCUUUCAGCAGGGAAGAAGCGCAAGUGACGGUACCUGCAGAAGAAGCGCCGGCUAACUACGUGCCAGCAGCCGCGGUAAUACGUAGGGCGCAAGCGUUGUCCGGAAUUAUUGGGCGUAAAGAGCUCGUAGGCGGUCUGUCGCGUCUGGUGUGAAAACUCAAGGCUCAACCUUGAGCUUGCAUCGGGUACGGGCAGACUAGAGUGCGGUAGGGGAGACUGGAAUUCCUGGUGUAGCGGUGGAAUGCGCAGAUAUCAGGAGGAACACCGAUGGCGAAGGCAGGUCUCUGGGCCGCAACUGACGCUGAGGAGCGAAAGCAUGGGGAGCGAACAGGAUUAGAUACCCUGGUAGUCCAUGCCGUAAACGUUGGGCACUAGGUGUGGGGCUCAUUCCACGAGUUCCGUGCCGCAGCAAACGCAUUAAGUGCCCCGCCUGGGGAGUACGGCCGCAAGGCUAAAACUCAAAGGRAUUGACGGGGGCCCGCACAAGCGGCGGAGCAUGCGGAUUAAUUCGAUGCAACGCGAAGAACCUUACCAAGGCUUGACAUACACCGGAAACUUCCAGAGAUGGUUGCCCCGCAAGGUCGGUGUACAGGUGGUGCAUGGUUGUCGUCAGCUCGUGUCGUGAGAUGUUGGGUUAAGUCCCGCAACGAGCGCAACCCUCGUCCUAUGUUGCCAGCACGUGAUGGUGGGGACUCAUAGGAGACUGCCGGGGUCAACUCGGAGGAAGGUGGGGAUGACGUCAAAUCAUCAUGCCCCUUAUGUCUUGGGCUUCACGCAUGCUACAAUGGCCGGUACAAAGGGCUGCGAUACCGUAAGGUGGAGCGAAUCCCAAAAAGCCGGUCUCAGUUCGGAUUGGGGUCUGCAACUCGACCCCAUGAAGUCGGAGUCGCUAGUAAUCGCAGAUCAGCAACGCUGCGGUGAAUACGUUCCCGGGCCUUGUACACACCGCCCGUCAAGUCACGAAAG